This 491-nucleotide ribosomal RNA is filed under the name uncultured bacterium. RNAcentral's name for it is "partial 16S ribosomal RNA". It matches the Rfam family "Bacterial small subunit ribosomal RNA", at positions 29 to 507 of the family's 1533-position model. The record is from RNAcentral.
AUGAACGCUAGCUACAGGCUUAACACAUGCAAGUCGAGGGGAAACGACAUCGAAAGCUUGCUUUUGAUGGGCGUCGACCGGCGCACGGGUGAGUAACGCGUAUCCAACCUGCCCAUCACUUGGGAAUAACCUUGCGAAAGUAAGACUAAUACCCAAUGAUAUCCCACGAAGGCAUCGGAAUGGGAUUAAAGAUUUAUCGGUGAUGGAUGGGGAUGCGUCUGAUUAGCUUGUUGGCGGGGUAACGGCCCACCAAGGCAACGAUCAGUAGGGGUUCUGAGAGGAAGGUCCCCUACAUUGGAACUGAGACACGGUCCAAACUCCUACGGGAGGCAGCAGUGAGGAAUAUUGGUCAAUGGGCGAGAGCCUGAACCAGCCAAGUAGCGUGCAGGAAGACGGCCCUAUGGGUUGUAAACUGCUUUUAUAAGGGAAUAAAGUGGGUCACGUGUGACUUUUUGCAUGUACCUUAUGAAUAAGGACCGGCUAAUUCCGUG